RNAcentral lists this ribosomal RNA (405 nucleotides) under uncultured bacterium. RNAcentral's name for it is "bacterial SSU rRNA". It matches the Rfam family "Bacterial small subunit ribosomal RNA", at positions 355 to 772 of the family's 1533-position model. The record is from RNAcentral.
UGGGGAAUAUUGCACAAUGGGCGCAAGCCUGAUGCAGCAACGCCGCGUGAGGGACGACGGCCUUCGGGUUGUAAACCUCUUUUGGCAGGGAAGAAGCGAAAGUGACGGUACCUGCAGAAAAAGCACCGGCUAACUACGUGCCAGCAGCCGCGGUAAUACGUAGGGUGCAAGCGUUGUCCGGAAUUAUUGGGCGUAAAGAGCUCGUAGGCGGUUUGUCGCGUCUGCUGUGAAAACGCGAGGCUCAACCUCGCGCCUGCAGUGGGUACGGGCAGACUAGAGUGUGGUAGGGGAGAUUGGAAUUCCUGGUGUAGCGGUGGAAUGCGCAGAUAUCAGGAGGAACACCGAUGGCGAAGGCAGAUCUCUGGGCCAUUACUGACGCUGAGGAGCGAAAGCGUGGGGAGCGAA